AACGGGGGGGGCGAGCGUUAUCCGUCGUUGACUGGGCGUAAAGGGUGCGUAGACUGUUUUGUGGUUUGAUUUGUUGCGAAACAUCAGGGCUCAACCUUGGAACGUACAUCUUACACACUUAGCUAGAGGUUAGGAGAAGUAUGCAGUACUUUUGGUGUUAGAGGUGAAAUUCGCAGAUACCAAAGGGACAUCGAUCGGCGAAGGCGGCAUACUCUUAUAAUCUGACGUUGAGGCACGAAAGUAUGGGUAUCAAACGGG
This 258-nucleotide unclassified non-coding RNA is filed under the name uncultured bacterium. RNAcentral describes it as "contains 16S-23S intergenic spacer region". It matches the Rfam family "Bacterial small subunit ribosomal RNA", at positions 524 to 776 of the family's 1533-position model. The record is from RNAcentral.